UACGUAGGGUGCAAGCGUUAAUCGGAAUUACUGGGCGUAAAGCGUGCGCAGGCGGCUUUGCAAGACAGAUGUGAAAUCCCCGGGCUUAACCUGGGAACUGCAUUUGUGACUGCAUGGCUGGAGUGCGGCAGAGGGGGAUGGAAUUCCGCGUGUAGCAGUGAAAUGCGUAGAUAUGCGGAGGAACACCGAUGGCGAAGGCAAUCCCCUGGACCUGUACUGACGCUCAUGCACGAAAGCGUGGGGAGCAAACAGG
Molecule: ribosomal RNA, 253 nt
Filed under: uncultured bacterium
Lineage: Bacteria
Description: partial 16S ribosomal RNA
Rfam family: Bacterial small subunit ribosomal RNA
Source: RNAcentral